Molecule: ribosomal RNA, 464 nt
Filed under: uncultured bacterium
Lineage: Bacteria
Description: partial 16S ribosomal RNA
Rfam family: Bacterial small subunit ribosomal RNA
Source: RNAcentral
ACGAACGCUGGCGGCGUGCUUAACCCAUGCAAGUCGAACGGAAAGGCCCCUUUGGGGGUACUCGAGUGGCGAACGGGUGAGUAACACGUGAGUAACCUGCCCUUGACUUCGGGAUAACUUCAGGAAACUGGGGCUAAUACCGGAUAGGAAUCCUUGCUGCAUGGUGGGGGUUGGAAAGCUUCGGCGGGUUUGGAUGGACUCGCGGCUUAUCAGCUUGUUGGUGGGGUAGUGGCUUACCAAGGCUUUGACGGGUAGCCGGCCUGAGAGGGCGACCGGCCACAGUGGGACUGAGAUACGGCCCAGACUCCUACGGGAGGCAGCAGGGGGGAAGAUUGCACAAUGGGCGGAAGCCUGAUGCAGCAACGCCGCGUGCGGGAGGACGGCCUUCGGGUUGUAAACCGCUUUCAGCAGGGGCGAAGCUUGUGGUGACGGUACCUGCAGAAGAAGCACCGGCUAACUACGUG